This 453-nucleotide ribosomal RNA is filed under the name uncultured Prevotellaceae bacterium. RNAcentral's name for it is "partial 16S ribosomal RNA". It matches the Rfam family "Bacterial small subunit ribosomal RNA", at positions 341 to 792 of the family's 1533-position model. Lineage: Bacteria; Pseudomonadati; Bacteroidota; Bacteroidia; Bacteroidales; Prevotellaceae. The record is from RNAcentral.
ACGGGAGGCAGCAGUGAGGAAUAUUGGUCAAUGGGCGGAAGCCUGAACCAGCCAAGUCGCGUGAAGGAUGAAGGUAUUAUGUAUUGUAAACUUCUUUAGCAGCAGAGUAAUAAGGCCCUCGUGAGGGCUGAUGCAAGUAUGCUGAAAAUAAGGAUCGGCUAACUCCGUGCCAGCAGCCGCGGUAAUACGGAGGAUCCGAGCGUUAUCCGGAUUUAUUGGGUUUAAAGGGAGCGCAGGCGGAGAUGUAAGCCAGCCGUCAAAUCGUGGUGCUCAACGCCAUCCAGCGGUUGGAACUGCAUCCCUUGAGUGCACUAGAGGAAGGUGGAAUUCGUGGUGUAGCGGUGAAAUGCAUAGAUAUCACGAAGAACUCCGAUUGCGAAGGCAGCCUUCUGGGGUGUUACUGACGCUCAUGCUCGAAGGUGCGGGUAUCAAACAGGAUUAGAUACCCUGGUA